UUCACUUCCGAGACCAGCGAGACCCCGAACCCACCGGGAGGAAUGAACAACUCCGGAUGGGAGGGACAAACAACACCAGACGCACCGCCUUAAGAGUCCUAACGCUCACCGCGGAGGUCUGCGGCUUCACUCUUGAAUGAAGCCAGCGAGAUCACAAACCCACCAGAAGGAAGGAACUCUGAACACAUCCGAAAAUCAGAAGGAACAAACUCCGGACACACUACCUUUAAGAACUGUAACACUCAAAUCGCGAGGGUCCACGGCUUCGUUCUUGAAGUCAGUGAGACCAAGAACCCACAAAUUCCGGACACUUCCCCACACAGAGGGAACUGGCCUAACACUCUUCAAGGAACUCAAGCGCUCUUGUUGUCUUCCUGGGCAGGUGGUGCCAAUAGGAUGUACUGACAGAUCAGAAGUGGUCGUGAGAGAAGGAGCAAGUAGCCAGAAGAGUGAAGUGUGCACUGGCUGAGAUGUGGGAGCAGGUGUUGUUGGUUUCCCCGGAGUAAGUUACCUUGAGUGAGUUAAGGUUAAGAUAUCCCAGGGGUGAGGUUGAGCAGGCAGUUGUGUAUGUGACCCUGGGGAAAGUCUAGCUGAAGAUACAAAGAUGGGAUGAGAUCACCAAGGAGUAAGUGUCUUUAGCAAAGAGAAGAGACCAAGGACUGAAUCUGGAUACCUCAACAUUUGGAGUCAGAGCCUGAAAAG
This 702-nucleotide long non-coding RNA is filed under the name Homo sapiens (human). RNAcentral's name for it is "long non-coding RNA NONHSAT151150.1". The record is from RNAcentral. Lineage: Eukaryota; Metazoa; Chordata; Mammalia; Primates; Hominidae.